Molecule: long non-coding RNA, 568 nt
Organism: Oxyura jamaicensis (ruddy duck)
Lineage: Eukaryota; Metazoa; Chordata; Aves; Anseriformes; Anatidae
Exons: 3
Source: RefSeq, a predicted model, not a curated record
GGGCUUUUAACUCGUAGUGAGAACGAAGGGAAGAGGAUCUGACUGGCGUGGCUCUUUGCACACCUGGAACUGGGUUAGUAAAUAUCACCCUGGUUGAGCUGGGUACUACUGUACAGCAGGCAAGCUGGUAGGAAAGAAGCUGUGAGUGGGAUUCAGCUGCAAACUGAAGACUCUGCUGAUUAAAUCUACAUGCAGGUGCUACCUGUGAAUAGUUUCAGACUACUGAAAGGCCCGAAACUACGAGGCAUUCGUCUUUGAAGCCAGUCUAUAAUGGAAGGUGAUGUUGAGAAGUCAUUAUCUGUCACUCAGGAAAACUUCGUGAUAGGCAGCCUGCCUGGCUUCUGACAUGGCACUUGGCUGGAGCGGAUGGAAAAAUAGAAGCUUGCACAGAAAGCCUGAAAUACAUGGUCUGAUUUUUCAGAAUCGGGUAAUCGGUGCUCGCGCAAGAAGCUCUUUGGUAACUGCUCCGGGGAAGAAAGGCUUGAUGGUGAGAUGUGCUGAGUGCCCUUGGUGUCCGUCAGGUUUAAGGAUGCUCAGCUGCUGGAGAACGUGCUCCGGACAAGGCUUU